AGCGUACACGGUGGAUGCCCUGGCAGUCAGAGGCGAUGAAGGGCGUGCUAAUCUGCGAUAAGCGCCGGUAAGGUGAUAUGAACCGUUAUAACCGGCGAUACCCGAAUGGGGAAACCCAGUGUGACUCGUCACACUAUCAUUAACUGAAUCCAUAGGUUAAUGAGGCGAACCGGGGGAACUGAAACAUCUAAGUACCCCGAGGAAAAGAAAUCAACCGAGAUUCCCCCAGUAGCGGCGAGCGAACGGGGAGGAGCCCAGAGCCUGAAUCAGCAUGUGUGUUAGUGGAAGCGUCUGGAAAGGCGCGCGAUACAGGGUGACAGCCCCGUACACAAAAGCGCAUGUGCUGUGAGCUCGAUGAGUAGGGCGGGACACGUGGUAUCCUGUCUGAAUAUGGGGGGACCAUCCUCCAAGGCUAAAUACUCCUGACUGACCGAUAGUGAACCAGUACCGUGAGGGAAAGGCGAAAAGAACCCCGGCGAGGGGAGUGAAAAAGAACCUGAAACCGUGUACGUACAAGCAGUGGGAGCACAGGUUUACCUGUGUGACUGCGUACCUUUUGUAUAAUGGGUCAGCGACUUAUAUUCUGUAGCAAGGUUAACCGAAUAGGGGAGCCGGAGGGAAACCGAGUCUUAAUUGGGCGUUAAGUUGCAGGGUAUAGACCCGAAACCCGGUGAUCUAGCCAUGGGCAGGUUGAAGGUUGGGUAACACUAACUGGAGGACCGAACCGACUAAUGUUGAAAAAUUAGCGGAUGACCUGUGGCUGGGGGUGAAAGGCCAAUCAAACCGGGAGAUAGCUGGUUCUCCCCGAAAGCUAUUUAGGUAGCGCCUCGUGAACUCAUCUCCGGGGGUAGAGCACUGUUUCGGCUAGGGGGCCAUCCCGGCUUACCAACCCGAUGCAAACUGCGAAUACCGGAGAAUGUUAUCACGGGAGACACACGGCGGGUGCUAACGUCCGUCGUGAAGAGGGAAACAACCCAGACCGCCAGCUAAGGUCCCAAAGUCAUGGUUAAGUGGGAAACGAUGUGGGAAGGCCCAGACAGCCAGGAUGUUGGCUUAGAAGCAGCCAUCAUUUAAAGAAAGCGUAAUAGCUCACUGGUCGAGUCGGCCUGCGCGGAAGAUGUAACGGGGCUAAACCAUGCACCGAAGCUGCGGCAGCGAACGUAUCACUUAAAGCGAUUCAGCGGGUUACGAUUGACGGAGCGAAGCGACGUCAAAGCGUAUACAAAGUCGAGUCGGUUUAAGGAUACGUUCGUUGGGUAGGGGAGCGUUCUGUAAGCCUGUGAAGGUGGCCUGUGAGGGUUGCUGGAGGUAUCAGAAGUGCGAAUGCUGACAUAAGUAACGAUAAAGCGGGUGAAAAGCCCGCUCGCCGGAAGACCAAGGGUUCCUGUCCAACGUUAAUCGGGGCAGGGUGAGUCGACCCCUAAGGCGAGGCCGAAAGGCGUAGUCGAUGGGAAACAGGUUAAUAUUCCUGUACUUGGUGUUACUGCGAAGGGGGGACGGAGAAGGCUAUGUUGGCCGGGCGACGGUUGUCCCGGUUUAAGCGUGUAGGCUGGUUUUCCAGGCAAAUCCGGAAAAUCAAGGCUGAGGCGUGAUGACGAGGCACUACGGUGCUGAAGCAACAAAUGCCCUGCUUCCAGGAAAAGCCUCUAAGCAUCAGGUAACAUCAAAUCGUACCCCAAACCGACACAGGUGGUCAGGUAGAGAAUACCAAGGCGCUUGAGAGAACUCGGGUGAAGGAACUAGGCAAAAUGGUGCCGUAACUUCGGGAGAAGGCACGCUGACACGUAGGUGAAGUGAUUUACUCACGGAGCUGAAGUCAGUCGAAGAUACCAGCUGGCUGCAACUGUUUAUUAAAAACACAGCACUGUGCAAACACGAAAGUGGACGUAUACGGUGUGACGCCUGCCCGGUGCCGGAAGGUUAAUUGAUGGGGUCAGCGCAAGCGAAGCUCCUGAUCGAAGCCCCGGUAAACGGCGGCCGUAACUAUAACGGUCCUAAGGUAGCGAAAUUCCUUGUCGGGUAAGUUCCGACCUGCACGAAUGGCGUAAUGAUGGCCAGGCUGUCUCCACCCGAGACUCAGUGAAAUUGAACUCGCUGUGAAGAUGCAGUGUACCCGCGGCAAGACGGAAAGACCCCGUGAACCUUUACUAUAGCUUGACACUGAACAUUGAGCCUUGAUGUGUAGGAUAGGUGGGAGGCUUUGAAGUGUGGACGCCAGUCUGCAUGGAGCCGACCUUGAAAUACCACCCUUUAAUGUUUGAUGUUCUAACGUGGACCCGUAAUCCGGGUUGCGGACAGUGUCUGGUGGGUAGUUUGACUGGGGCGGUCUCCUCCUAAAGAGUAACGGAGGAGCACGAAGGUUGGCUAAUCCUGGUCGGACAUCAGGAGGUUAGUGCAAUGGCAUAAGCCAGCUUGACUGCGAGCGUGACGGCGCGAGCAGGUGCGAAAGCAGGUCAUAGUGAUCCGGUGGUUCUGAAUGGAAGGGCCAUCGCUCAACGGAUAAAAGGUACUCCGGGGAUAACAGGCUGAUACCGCCCAAGAGUUCAUAUCGACGGCGGUGUUUGGCACCUCGAUGUCGGCUCAUCACAUCCUGGGGCUGAAGUAGGUCCCAAGGGUAUGGCUGUUCGCCAUUUAAAGUGGUACGCGAGCUGGGUUUAGAACGUCGUGAGACAGUUCGGUCCCUAUCUGCCGUGGGCGCUGGAGAACUGAGGGGGGCUGCUCCUAGUACGAGAGGACCGGAGUGGACGCAUCACUGGUGUUCGGGUUGUCAUGCCAAUGGCACUGCCCGGUAGCUAAAUGCGGAAGAGAUAAGUGCUGAAAGCAUCUAAGCACGAAACUUGCCCCGAGAUGAGUUCU
RNAcentral lists this ribosomal RNA (2856 nucleotides) under Salmonella enterica. RNAcentral describes it as "bacterial LSU rRNA". It matches the Rfam family "Bacterial large subunit ribosomal RNA". Lineage: Bacteria; Pseudomonadati; Pseudomonadota; Gammaproteobacteria; Enterobacterales; Enterobacteriaceae. The record is from RNAcentral.